CAGCGAUUCCCAGGGUUGUCAUAGAAACCACUCCCUGGGGCUUGGCAAAGCAGGAGCCCUCCGUGGCAGGGCUUCGGUGUCGGGGCUCCGAGGCUCCGGCCUGACUUCUCCACGGGGUCCACAGGAGCGUCUCCGGAUGCCAGGACCUGAAAUGGGCCGACCAGGAUGAGGAAACCACAGGCAGAGGCCGGGGAAGCAGCGCGGCAUCCCAUCCUCAGGCCUGCCCGGACGGUGUUCGGGAUCAAGAGGACCACACUCCAGCCCAGGACAAAAGCCCCACGGUAGCACAUUGUCCGGCAGGAGAGGAGCAGACCCACGUCCAAGAAGAUGGUUGUACCUUUCCACGCCUCUUCUCUGCGAAAUGAAGCCACACCAUGACACAAUCUUGAAGAGGAAGCCGGGAAUGGGAGACGGCAACAAUCCCUGUCCCUGGAACGCUGGCCUCUAUGGACAAGCCACCCGCUUCGCACCCCUCCCCUUAUGCCCGUGGCGGUGGCACGGCGCCGUAUCCUGCCUGGGCUCUGGCCUCUGCUCUGUCCUCCCUCUUCCACUGUCUCCCCUGUUUCUCAGCGGCCUAGAUGCCUCUUGGUCUGGCUGAAUAUCUUCUAUGAAGAUCACUUCCCCGUCCAUCAGGGAGACAAUUCCUGGAGAUUCGUGUCAUGACUGUUUCUCUCUCCAAACCUGUUUCUGCUGGAUUGCGCAGGUCUGAUGACCCUGGAGCUCUUGGCUUCCAUACGUGUCUCAGACAGAAUCAUCUCCCCUGCCCCACAAACAUGAAAGAAAAGACAAGAGAAGCACCCCAGAAGAGGAGGGGAGAAGUGCCCCAGAAAAAAUCAUCCAGUCUCUGAAGCUUUGCCCAGAAACUAUGAAAAUACAUUGCAAGAAUGCAACAUGCAGCACAGCAGAGAAGGGGCUGUCUGCAAAGAUAAAGGGCUGGAGGGAAGUUUUCUAAGGUUGUGCUGGACGGCGCUAUGUGCAGGCCUCCCCCGACGCCCUUCUCUCCUCGCCUUUCCCCCUUCUCCUCUCCCAAAUUCUAGUUGCCCAUCUGCUUGGUUGGGCUGCUGGUCGAUCUGAUCAGCUUUCUGAGGCCACAUCAAAACUGCAGAAAUGAGGCUGAUCGACCCAGCAACUCUAACAAAGAUCAUCCAUGGGACAUCUGGUCGCCCCUCUAUCUCGGAGCCAGAGGCUAUACGCUCUUCCCCGGUGGGGAGGGUGGGGCCCCAAAGUCCAACCACAAGAUCCCAUUAUGCGGGCCACGGCUAAAUCCACUGCGCCUUCCCCGUUUUUCUCGUACUGCCCAAGCCAGUCUCCACCUCCAAAACAAGACUCAGAAAAAGGUGUGAAGCUCAAGUCGGAUGACCAUGACCCACGCGUGGCCACGGACGGGCCCAUGCUACCCUUCGCAGUCCUCCUGGAACAGCCGGGCCGGUCCUCACCUCCGGGUCGGGGCUUGGAGAUAAUGGGUGUAAUGGAAGGCCUGAGGACCGGGCCCCACGCCAGUCAGCGUCCGGGCGGGAUACCCCAUCCCCCGUUCACACUCUCGGAAGGCCCAGCGAUUCCCGCGUGUACUAAUUGACCCGCUCAGGCCACAGCACUCCGAGCUCAAGAGCGCGCCUACAACGCUGACCCUCAGGUUUAAUCUCCGACGAAAGGACGAAGAGUACACCCAGCAAAGCCGGGCUCAUCCUGCCAGCGCUGCCAGUCCCCUGGAACUCUGCACCGCGCCCUGUGGCCAAAUCCCCUUUCUUGCCGGCUUCGCCAGAGCGCCGGAGAGAAAACCUUAACAGUGCAGCCAGGUGGCGCCCGACAGCCGGCGCCAGCGGCCGCGGAUCGGAUCCGCAUCUCCGGCGGGCGAGGCCUCUCCUAGUCCCUGACCAACUGGGAUCGCGUUUCUCGGCCUGGGGCGGGUGAAGGAGCUCCCAGUUGGCACCGCCUGGAAUGGCGCGACCCCGCAGCCGAAGGAGACUUGAAAAUUUUUCCUAACUACCGUUCUGCUCCGAGUGACUGCUACCUGCGAGGACAGACAGCCCACGCGGCUCCGGGCCGGGCGAUCUUCCGCGGGAACCGGGAACGUUUCCGAAGACCCCCGCAGGCCGGCGCCCUGCCUCGGCUUCCCAGCGCAGCGGGGUCCCGGGCUCCUCGCGGAUUAGAAAGUUUUGCUGGGCUCUGGCGGCGGGAGAGACAGUGAAGUUGAAACCGUGAAAGGGAGAACAUGGGUGAAUCGCUUUUAUUCUGUCUUUUCGGAAUGGGGAAGCCUUUCUAAAGCAUUAAAUAAACCCAGAAGCCAUCAAGGAAAUGAUUGAUCGGCUUGACAACAUAAAGUUUGAACAAAAUACACAAGCAAAGUCAAAAGAUAACAAAUGAGUGUGGGGAUCGCUUAUGCAUAAGAUAAGAAUAUUGAUUUCAUUCACAGUAGCCAAGAUACGGAAGCAACCUAGCCAAGAUAUGGAAGCAUCUACUAGUGGCUGAACGGAUAAAGAAAAUGUGGUGUAUGUACACCACGGGGUACUGUCCCGCCUUUGAAUAAAAGGAAAUCCUGCCAUUGGCGACAACAUGGAUGAACGUGGAGGUCAUUGUACUAAGAAAAGUAAGCCAGGCACAGAAACAAAUACCACCUGGUCUCUCCUGUAUGUGGAAUCUGAAAAUAGUUGAACUCAUAGAAACGGAGAGUAGAACGGUGGCUACUUGAGGCCGGGGGAAGGGCAGGAGGGGGAAGAUGUUAGUCAAAGGGUACAAGGAUUCAGUUAGACAAGAGGAAUAUGUUUUAGUGAUCCACAUGGCACGGUGACUGUAGUUAAUGCAUUUUAUAUGUCAAAAUUCCUUAAAUAGUAGAUUUUAAAUAAUCUCACCACAAAAAAAUAGAUGUGUUGGUGAUGGAUAUCUUAAUUAGCUUAAAGUAAUUGUUCCACCAAUGUAUACAUAUAUCAAAACAUCACAUUGUAUCCCAUGAAUAUAU
Molecule: long non-coding RNA, 2956 nt
Organism: Homo sapiens (human)
Lineage: Eukaryota; Metazoa; Chordata; Mammalia; Primates; Hominidae
Product: long intergenic non-protein coding RNA 2693
Source: Ensembl